UCAAGACGUCAUACGGAAAGCGGUCAAGUGUUUGGCUACAUGUACAGAGAACUCACGAACUCGAGCACCCCGCACGUAGACAGAAGUCGGUGUAUCAAAGACGACCUGUAAUGGUAAAUUCUUGCAAUGCCGAAUUAUACGAGGACGAAGAGGAGCAACUUCCGAUGUCGUAGCAUCUCUAAAUGUAGGUCUGUUCGCAAGAAUUCUCUCGGCUGCUUCGGACUUGGUGGAGCGAAUACGUAGAGUAGUAUUUCCUCGAAGAGAAUUUCUGCAAAAGUGAAGACGUGAUCACGUCCGUCAAAGACGGGGAACAAUGCCACAGCUGUUGGAUUAUUUAUUUAUUAAGGUCAGUGGGUGAGGGGAUGAACGAUAUACAUUCUCUUCUCGUUCUUUUUUUUUUCUCUUUCUUUCUUUUUCAACUCUAUUAUUUUUUUUUUGCACGCAACCACAACCGUCGGAAGUUACCACGAGGUCAGCAACAAGGGAUCGCGACAUCUCAUAGUUUUCUUUCUUCUCGUCCUUUUCCGAAUUCAAAAAAUUACCGAACAUUCGACAAUCGAUACCGGUCUUGCGAAUUAAUAACGGAACGUGCACUACCUAAUGUUAUUGGCGAAACAGAUGUAAAGGACAGAGACGUAGUUCGUUGCUUCGCAUUUCGUCCCUGUAUUAUCCCGAGUUGAAUUACCCCGUGUCUCCCGCGCCCCUGAAAUAUCUGGACUUUCGUCCGUAACCGUUAAAUAACCGUUGAAGCGAAAGAGUGGCAAUUUCCGGCCUCCCCGACAACCUCGACAACGUUCAACGCGAACGACCGACCACCGGACUUCGUCCCCGUCCGCUCCUUUUUUCCCUCCUUCGUUCUUCGACCGGGAACAACGCUGCCACUCCCCCGCGAAAAAUGUUAAUUGAAACCGUCGAGUCCAACAGCUUAUUUCUCGAAUCUCCUCGCGUCGUUCGCGUUUUCUCCCUUUUUCAUUUCAUUUCUAAACUCGGGAAUGUACGACGUAAUUUAUUUAUACUUUUUCGUUGAUUUUUGCUUUCUAUUUUCAUAUCUAAUGCUUCGCCGCCCGGAUUCUACCCCCUUGGCAAGACGCCGAGUAACGAGAUAUUGACGAGCGCUGUCUACCUCAGGGCGUCGGAGUCGAGAGCUAUAGAUCGAGUUCAGCGACCCGUAACACCUGACACGUGACCUUUCGUUAACAGUUCACGCAUCCCCGGCGCAGCGUCUGGAUGCGGCUACGUGGAGCUCAGUCUGCACGGG
Molecule: long non-coding RNA, 1258 nt
Organism: Athalia rosae (coleseed sawfly)
Lineage: Eukaryota; Metazoa; Arthropoda; Insecta; Hymenoptera; Athaliidae
Exons: 3
Source: RefSeq, a predicted model, not a curated record